UUUUUACUUUCCCCUUUCUCACUCCCCUCUGUAAAAAAAUUUCCACUUUCUCUCUCCAAUAUUGAAGCAGCUCCCGCGCGCAAGGUCGUCGUCCUCACCUCCCUCAACUCCAUUGAAGGAGCUCCAAGCUCAGUUCAAUCUUUUGCUCCUCUCAUUCUCACUCUUCUCCUCCAUUGAAGCGCACUCCGAGUUCUCCAUUAUUGAAGCGCACUCCGAGUUCUCCAUUAUUGAAGCGCACUCCGAGUUCUCCAUUAAAGGGCUUUUUGAGUUCUCCAUUGAAGCGCUAUCUAAGUUCUCCAUUGAAGCGCUCAUAGUUCUCCAUUAAAGCGUUUUAUUUUUUUCCCCAAAUUAUGCUUCUCUGAUUGGUGGGUGGUGUUUGCGUGGGUUUGGUUGGAGGUGAGGUGGUGAAUUGGUUGAUGAUUGUUGUUGUUGCGAGUGGAAACAGGGGAAGGGCGUGGUUCAGGUGGUUGCGGUUUUGUGUGGUGGUGGUAGAAUAGGGGAGAAUUGCGGUUAUUGGUGUUGGUGGGCUGAUUGGAGUUGCGGCUGGCAGUUGGUGAAUUGGGGGAAAGCAGUGGUGGACUGGUGGUUUGCGUGGUGGUGGUAGUGGCUGCUGUUAAAGGUGGCUGAAGGUGGAGGUUGGUGAUUUGAGUGGCUGAAGGUGGUGGUUGGUGAUUUGAGUGGCUGAAGGUUGUGGUUUGCGGCUGUUGUGGUUGAGUGUGGUGGAGAUGGAAGCAGGGGAGAUGUGUUUUGGUUGUGUUGGUGUGUAGGGUAAGGUGAAGUGUGGUGAAGGUUUAGGGGCAGCAGCUUGUAAGACAUUUUGUUGAACUUGAUUGACUCGGGUCCCGAACUUCCAAUGCAAACCAUUUGACUUUGAAACAUAAGGUUCUGGAUGGGUGUGGCUCGCACUUGACACACAGUCGAAGAAGCUUCUUGUUGAAACCACUCCAAAUCAGGUUUAAAGGAAGUUGUUCAAACAGACAAGGCUCCUGCGGCAUUGGGACCAUAUUCUCAAGCCAUUAAAGCAAACAACAUGCUCUUUGUAUCUGGUGUUUUGGGUCUUGUGCCUGAGACGGGAAAUUUUGUAUCAGAAAAUGUGGAGGAACAAACUGAGCAGGAUUUUUGUCCAAGGACCGCCCCGUAUGAUGUCGACGACUUGAAUGUGGUUCGAGAACAAUGGGUGCAAUACUUUAGAAGUAAAUAUUUAUUGAAUGCAUAACUAUUAGCUUAGGUAGAACAACGCAAUAUUUUUAGUGUUGUUGUAUAUGUUGGAUAAAUUUAUACAAGUUUUUAUUUGUAAUAUGUUACUAUUUCAGUUUUUAUAUUACGUCGUAUUAAUUUUUACGAAA
Long non-coding RNA from Chenopodium quinoa (quinoa), 1346 nucleotides. RefSeq lists it as uncharacterized. The transcript has 6 exons. Lineage: Eukaryota; Viridiplantae; Streptophyta; Magnoliopsida; Caryophyllales; Amaranthaceae. The record is from RefSeq and is a predicted model, not a curated record.